Long non-coding RNA from Jaculus jaculus (lesser Egyptian jerboa), 380 nucleotides. RefSeq lists it as uncharacterized. The record is from RefSeq and is a predicted model, not a curated record. NCBI's taxonomy places the organism in Eukaryota, Metazoa, Chordata, Mammalia, Rodentia, Dipodidae. The transcript has 3 exons.
GCAAUGAUCUGUCCGUGAACAUGACCCACGCAGAUGCCCGCCCCCCACCCUUGUAAGAAGCGCCCUGAAUGUGAUUUCCAGCAGCAACCGGACCUGAUGGAUGGGAUCAGGACUGUGACCUUCCAGAGCCUGGUUGGGUCCCGACCUAUCCUGAAUCUAUGAAGAGGCUUCGACUGUUGGCGUGAUGGUGGUGGACAGCUGUAAUCCUGCGCUCAAGAGGAUGGAUCACGAGUUGGAGGCCAGCAUGGGAUACGUGAUGCGGAAACUGAAGCUCAGAGGGGGAAAGACUGAAUUCAGGAUAGCACGCUGGCUUCCCAGUCUCCACUGAGGGACUGUACACCCACACGCUUGGCCCCAUUCGGUGCUAACCCUGUGACCCG